RNAcentral lists this ribosomal RNA (497 nucleotides) under uncultured bacterium. RNAcentral describes it as "partial 16S ribosomal RNA". It matches the Rfam family "Bacterial small subunit ribosomal RNA", at positions 28 to 507 of the family's 1533-position model. The record is from RNAcentral.
GAUGAACGCUGGCGGCGUGCCUAAUACAUGCAAGUCGAGCGAACGGACGAGAAGCUUGCUUCUCUGAUGUUAGCGGCGGACGGGUGAGUAACACGUGGAUAACCUACCUAUAAGACUGGGAUAACUUCGGGAAACCGUAGCUAAUACCGGAUAAUAUUUUGAACCGCAUGGUUCAAAAGUGAAAGACGGUCUUGCUUUCACUUAUAGAUGGAUCCGCGCUGCAUUAGCUAGUUGGUAAGGUAACGGCUUACCAAGGCAACGAUGCAUAGCCGACCUGAGAGGGUGAUCGGCCACACUGGAACUGAGACACGGUCCAGACUCCUACGGGAGGCAGCAGUAGGGAAUCUUCCGCAAUGGGCGAAAGCCUGACGGAGCAACGCCGCGUGAGUGAUGAAGGUCUUCGGAUCGUAAUACUCUGUUAUUAGGGAAGAACAUAUGUGUAAGUAACUGUGCACAUCUUGACGGUACCUAAUCAGAAAGCCACGGCUAACUACGUG